Molecule: non-coding RNA, 29 nt
Filed under: Mus musculus (house mouse)
Lineage: Eukaryota; Metazoa; Chordata; Mammalia; Rodentia; Muridae
Source: RNAcentral
UGGGUGGACAUUGAGAAUGCUGGGUUAUC